AGCAGCCGCGGUAAUUCCAGCUCCAAUAGCGUAUAUUAAAGUUGUUGCAGUUAAAAAGCUCGUAGUUGAAUUUCGGGGUUCUUCCGUUGGUCGGGCUAUCCAGUCUGUACUAGCGUGUAGAAUUCCUACCUUCUGGGGAACCAUCAUGUUAUUAAUUUAGCGUGGUGGGAAACCAGGACCUUUACCUUGAAAAAAUUAGAGUGUUCAAAGCAGGCUUACGUCUGAAUACAUUAGCAUGGAAUAAUAGAAUAGGACGGUGGUCCUGUUUUGUUGGUUUCUGAAUCACCGUAAUGAUUAAUAGGGAUAGUUGGGGGCAUUAGUAUUCAAUUGUCAGAGGUGAAAUUCUUGGAUUUAUUGAAGACUAACUUCUGCGAAAGCAUUUGCCAAGGAUGUUUUCAUUAAUCAAGAACGAAAGUUAGGGGAUCGAAGACGAUCAGAUACCGUCGUAGUCUUAACCAUAAACUAUGCCGACUAGGGAUCGGACGAUGUUAAAUUUAUUGACUCGUUCGGCGCCUUACGG
RNAcentral lists this ribosomal RNA (520 nucleotides) under uncultured Glomeromycotina. RNAcentral's name for it is "SSU rRNA". It matches the Rfam family "Eukaryotic small subunit ribosomal RNA", at positions 569 to 1093 of the family's 1831-position model. The record is from RNAcentral. Lineage: Eukaryota; Fungi; Glomeromycota.